RNAcentral lists this ribosomal RNA (256 nucleotides) under uncultured bacterium. Its description in RNAcentral is "partial 16S ribosomal RNA". It matches the Rfam family "Bacterial small subunit ribosomal RNA", at positions 100 to 353 of the family's 1533-position model. The record is from RNAcentral.
GGACGGGUGAGUAACGCGUGAGUAACCUGCCUUGUACUGGGGGACGAACAGUUAGAAAUGACUGCUAAUACCGCAUAAGCGCACAGUAUCGCAUGAUACAGUGUGAAAAACUCCGGUGGUACAAGAUGGACCCGCGUCUGAUUAGCUAGUUGGUAAGGUAACGGCUUACCAAGGCGACGAUCAGUAGCCGACCUGAGAGGGUGACCGGCCACAUUGGGACUGAGACACGGCCCAAACUCCUACGGGAGGCAGCAUG